RNAcentral lists this ribosomal RNA (253 nucleotides) under uncultured bacterium. RNAcentral's name for it is "partial 16S ribosomal RNA". It matches the Rfam family "Bacterial small subunit ribosomal RNA", at positions 524 to 776 of the family's 1533-position model. The record is from RNAcentral.
UACGUAGGGGGCUAGCGUUGUUCGGAAUUACUGGGCGUAAAGCGUGCGCAGGCGGCUUCUCAAGUCAGGGGUGAAAGCCCAGAGCUCAACUCUGGAAUUGCCUUUGAGACUGAGUGGCUUGAGUACGAGAGAGGUGAGUGGAAUUCCCAGUGUAGAGGUGAAAUUCGUAGAUAUUGGGAAGAACACCGGUGGCGAAGGCGGCUCACUGGCUCGUAACUGACGCUCAUGCACGACAGCGUGGGGAUCAAACAGG